GCAGGCAGCCUAACGUGGGACUUGAUCCCGGGUCUCCAGGAUCACGCCUUGGGCUGAAGGCGGCGCUAAACCGCUGAGCCACGGGCUGCCCAGAGGCUGUAUUUUCAGACACACCGAGGAAACCCACGUCCACUGGAGAGGAUAAAAGCCAUGUGGAGGAAUCUUGGUUUGAAGACAUUGACCCAGGAGAGAGAAGUCCUUGGUAUCGCUUUUGGAGACACCUUGUGGACAAUCUGUCAAGAAUUCUAUGAUACAUAGCUAAAUACAUUGAGGGCCCAUAAAUUGUCAGACCUUGUGCCCAUCUCAGAAAAGCAAAGAUAAAGAAGAUUGGAAUUUUCUUUUCUUUUUAUUAUCCAACAGAUGGUAGAGUAUAGCAUAGGGAUUUGGUUCAAGGCAGGAAGUGUCAGAAGACCUGGAUUUGGCUCCUGCCUUUGUUAGGUGUCAAGUUUUCGAAGGACAAAAAAAAAAAAAGGCUUAUCUUCUUUUGAGGAGUCUGAAGAAAUGUUUACUAUCAAGGAUAGAGGUGAGUAGUAUAUCUCUUUUAUGGGACUUGGGGUUCUCUCAAAAAACCCAAGGUGCAGGGCUCUUGGGGAGCCCAGGAUGGCUAGUGCCUUUCCAGAUGCAUGCUGGUGGGUAGUGUUUCUCCCAGGUCAUGGAGCAUGGCCUGAAAGGGACUUUACAUUUCCUGAUGGUUAUACCCAGGUUGGUAUGGAACUGGAGUAGAAUUGGAAUCCAUGUUCUAAGAGAAAGGCGUCUCACAUUGAGCUGGGCUUUUCAACUUCUUAGAUCCCUUCUCCUCUUACAAAUCACAUUUACUAUCUUUACUGACCUCAGAGAUGCUUGUUUUUUCUUUUCAUCCAGCCUGAAGUCAUCUUGCUGGAUAGAAUUUUGCUUUUUAGGGGAGGGAGUGUGUAGAGUCUUUUCUAUAUUACACAAGGAGAAAGGAACAGUCAAUAUUAGAAGAUCAUACCUCUUCCUGCUUUGUUACAU
Molecule: long non-coding RNA, 990 nt
Filed under: Canis lupus familiaris (dog)
Lineage: Eukaryota; Metazoa; Chordata; Mammalia; Carnivora; Canidae
Description: lncRNA (ENSCAFG00845020505.1)
Source: RNAcentral